UCCGGCUUAUCACCGGCGGUUUCUUUAGAGUGCCCAACUAAAUGAUGGCAACUAAAGACGAGGGUUGCGCUCGUUGCGGGACUUAACCCAACAUCUCACGACACGAGCUGACGACAACCAUGCACCACCUGUGUACGGCCCAAAAGGACACCGUAUCUCUACGGCUUUUCCGUACAUGUCAAACCCAGGUAAGGUUCUUCGCGUUGCCUCGAAUUAAGCAACAUGCUCCGCUGCUUGUGCGGGCCCCCGUCAAUUCCUUUGAGUUUUAAUCUUGCGACCGUACUCCCCAGGCGGGAAGCUUAAUGCGUUAGCUGCGCCACCGACAAGUAAACUUGCCAACGGCUAGCUUCCAUCGUUUACGGCGUGGACUAC
This 372-nucleotide unclassified non-coding RNA is filed under the name uncultured bacterium. RNAcentral describes it as "contains 16S-23S intergenic spacer region". The record is from RNAcentral.